GAUGAACGCUGGCGGCGUGCCUAAUACAUGCAAGUCGAGCGAACAGACGAGGAGCUUGCUCCUUCGACGUUAGCGGCGGACGGGUGAGUAACACGUAGGUAACCUACCUAUAAGACUGGGAUAACUUCGGGAAACCGGAGCUAAUACCGGAUAAUAUUUCGAACCGCAUGGUUCGAUAGUGAAAGAUGGCUUUGCUAUCACUUAUAGAUGGACCUGCGCCGUAUUAGCUGGUUGGUAAGGUAACGGCUUACCAAGGCAACGAUACGUAGCCGACCUGAGAGGGUGAUCGGCCACACUGGAACUGAGACACGGUCCAGACUCCUACGGGAGGCAGCAGUAGGGAAUCUUCCGCAAUGGGCGAAAGCCUGACGGAGCAACGCCGCGUGAGUGAUGAAGGUCUUCGGAUCGUAAAACUCUGUUAUUAGGGAAGAACAAACGUGUAAGUAACUGUGCACGUCUUGACGGUACCUAAUCAGAAAGCCACGGCUAACUACGUG
RNAcentral lists this ribosomal RNA (497 nucleotides) under uncultured bacterium. RNAcentral describes it as "partial 16S ribosomal RNA". It matches the Rfam family "Bacterial small subunit ribosomal RNA", at positions 28 to 507 of the family's 1533-position model. The record is from RNAcentral.